CCUUCCAUCCCAAUCUCAUAAUUGUAAAGAACUUGCUUUCCACUCAGGGCUGGUGCUGUCAUAAAACAAAUUACACAUUUGAUCGAAACAAUUUAAAAGGGGUCACUCGGUAGAUCCAUAUGCCAGUGAGGUGAGCACCUCUGAUCAGUGCACAACUCAGUGAAUGCCCACUGUCAAUUCAAUGCUUCUUUGAGAGUAACAUAGUGAGUGCUGGGUUACCAGACAGUCACUCUGAUACCAGAGGAAAACAAAGCACUAACAGUGCUUGGCACCUGUAAACCCUUGGGUUACUAGAAACCAGGCCCCAUUCCCUCACCAGACCAACAAGUAAGGAAUAAAGAAGGGGUGUGAUCAAUCAUUAAAUAAAAAAAUAAUUAAGUAAUUAAAGCAUAGAGGGCUCCCCCAUAUACAGCCAUUGGUACAUUCAAGUGUAUUAAGCACAAACAAAUAGAGUGAUAUUCAAAGUGAGAAAAUAGAAAGAAAAAAUAUGGUAAAACAUUGUUAGGGAGAAGUAGGGUAUGCAAUGGACAUCCCACAGAGAAAGAACAUUCUUAGCCCUGCCUCUAUUCCAGGACCAGUCUUCAAACAGCAGAGAAUAAAAAUGACUACACUUGGGCUCCUUCCAAUCCCUCUGGAAAUGCUGGCUUCUCUGCUUACUAUUUUACUGCAUGA
Non-coding RNA from Pelobates cultripes (western spadefoot toad), 672 nucleotides. The record is from the annotation of a GenBank genome assembly. NCBI's taxonomy places the organism in Eukaryota, Metazoa, Chordata, Amphibia, Anura, Pelobatidae.